This 254-nucleotide ribosomal RNA is filed under the name uncultured bacterium. RNAcentral's name for it is "partial 16S ribosomal RNA". It matches the Rfam family "Bacterial small subunit ribosomal RNA", at positions 524 to 776 of the family's 1533-position model. The record is from RNAcentral.
UACGUAGGCAGCAAGCGUUGUUCGGAGUUACUGGGCGUAAAGGGUGUGUAGGCGGUUGUUUUAAGUUUGGUGUGAAAUCUCCCGGCUCAACUGGGAGGGUGCGCCGAAUACUGAAUGACUCGAGUGCGGGAGAGGAAAGUGGAAUUCCUGGUGUAGCGGUGAAAUGCGUAGAUAUCAGGAGGAACACCGGUGGUGUAGACGGCUUUCUGGACCGUAACUGACGCUGAGACACGAAAGCGUGGGUAGCAAACAGG